RNAcentral lists this ribosomal RNA (372 nucleotides) under uncultured organism. Its description in RNAcentral is "bacterial SSU rRNA". It matches the Rfam family "Bacterial small subunit ribosomal RNA", at positions 526 to 896 of the family's 1533-position model. The record is from RNAcentral.
CAGAGGGGGCAAGCGUUAUUCGGAAUUAUUGGGCGUAAAGGGCGCGUAGGCGGCUUUUCAAGUGACGGGUGAAAUCCCUCGGCUUAACCGAGGAACUGCCUGUCAGACUGGAAGGCUUGAGACCGGGAGAGGUGAGUGGAAUUCCCAGUGUAGCGGUGAAAUGCGUAGAUAUUGGGAGGAACACCAGUGGCGAAGGCGGCUCACUGGACCGGAACUGACGCUGAGGCGCGAAAGCAUGGGGAGCAAACAGGAUUAGAUACCCUGGUAGUCCACGCCGUAAACGAUGAGUGCUUGGUGUAGCGGGUAUCGACCCCUGCUGUGCCGAAGUCAACACAUUAAGCACUCCGCCUGGGGAGUACGGUCGCAAGACUG